This 82-nucleotide transfer RNA is filed under the name Actinomycetota bacterium. RNAcentral's name for it is "tRNA-Leu". It matches the Rfam family "tRNA". From Rfam's summary of the family: Transfer RNA (tRNA) molecules are approximately 80 nucleotides in length. Their secondary structure includes four short double-helical elements and three loops (D, anti-codon, and T loops). The record is from RNAcentral. Lineage: Bacteria; Bacillati; Actinomycetota.
GCGGGCGUGGCGGAACUGGUAGACGCGCCGGGUUUAGGUCCCGGUGCCGCAAGGCAUGGAGGUUCGAGUCCUCUCGCCCGCA